Molecule: transfer RNA, 74 nt
Filed under: Candidatus Uhrbacteria bacterium
Lineage: Bacteria; Candidatus Uhriibacteriota
Description: tRNA-Arg
Rfam family: tRNA
About the family: Transfer RNA (tRNA) molecules are approximately 80 nucleotides in length. Their secondary structure includes four short double-helical elements and three loops (D, anti-codon, and T loops).
Source: RNAcentral
GCGCCCGUAGCUCAAUUGAACAGAGCGCGUGGCUUCGGACCACGAGGUUCCAGGUUUGAGCCCUGGCGGGCGCG